GUAGCAUAAUCACUUGCUUCUUAAUUAGACGCUAGAAUGAAAGGGGCGACGAAAUCUAGACUAUCAAAAUUUUAAAAUAAAUUGACAACCAGGUCAAAAGGCCUGAAUGCAGCAGGGGGACGACAAGACCCUAUAAAACUUUACCUUUUGCCCAGUAGCGGGCAGGGCGCUGUCUGGCGUAAUGGUUUUACUGGGGCGGUAUGCGUAAAAACAACUUUAAGUUUAAUAUACUAAAUAAAGUGUAAUAACUCUUAUAGAAAUAGAAUAAGUUACUUUAGGGAUAACAGCGUAAUUGCCCCCGAGAGUUCUUAUUGGCGGGGUAG
Molecule: ribosomal RNA, 323 nt
Filed under: Proasellus sp. Sospel
Lineage: Eukaryota; Metazoa; Arthropoda; Malacostraca; Isopoda; Asellidae
Description: partial 16S ribosomal RNA
Rfam family: Bacterial large subunit ribosomal RNA
Source: RNAcentral